Molecule: ribosomal RNA, 403 nt
Filed under: uncultured bacterium
Lineage: Bacteria
Description: partial 16S ribosomal RNA
Rfam family: Bacterial small subunit ribosomal RNA
Source: RNAcentral
AUUGAACGCUAGCGGGAUGCUUUACACAUGCAAGUCGAACGAGUGGCGGACGGGAGAGCAAUGUAUGGGGACUGCACGAUAGAGGGGGAUAAAUACUGGAAACGGUAGCGAAUACCGCAUACUAUCGGAUAACCAAUAAUGGAUUAGCUAGUAGGUGAGGUAAUGGCUCACCUAGGCGACGAUCCCUAUCUGGUCUGAGAGGAUGAUCAGCCACACUGGGAGUGAGACACGGCCCAGACUCCUACGGAGGCAGCAGUGGGGAAUAUUGCACAAUGGGCGAAAGCCUGAUGCAGCCAUGCCGCGUGUAUGAAGAAGGCCCUAGGGUUGUAAAGUACUUUCAGUCGGGAGGCGUUACCGACAGAAUCAGCACCGGCUAACUCCGUGCCAGCAGCCGCGGUAAUAC